CAGACAGUGACACAGACGCAGACAGAGGGACACAAACGUCUUUAUCGUAAUUUCUCACCUCCUUUCCUGUCAUUUGAACAAUCUCCUCACUCAGUCAGUCCUCACACUUGUCUAUACAAAAAACUCCAUCACUGCUAAACUCUCCCACUCUUCACUUCUCACUUGCUUUACUUUCCUCCUCUAAACAUCUCCCUCCAAAAUGGGGACCAGAAUCCCUUCUCACCAGCUCAAAAAUGGUCUCUUAGUUUCAGGUCCACCCGAGCACCUCAAGGAGAAGCAACCCACAAUGGCAUCACGCGCCGUUCCAUACACUGGUGGUGACGUCAAGAAGUCUGGCGAGCUUGGCAAAAUGUUUGAUAUCCCUGUCCUCGAUCAACACUCGCCUUCUGGCCCUCCUCCCUCUAUACCCAAGCAACCCUCCCGCCCUUCCUCCUCUUCUCAACACAAUAGCGGAUCCGUCCGAUCCGGGCCCAACUCCGGCUCAGUUAAGAAAUCUUCCGGUCCCCUUCCCCUUCAGCCCACCGGUCUCAUCACCUCCGGACCCCUCGGCUCCGGUCCAUUGGGCUCUGGCCCACUCCCUUUGGCCCACCGGAGAUCCGGCCAGCUCGACCAUACUGGCUCCGGGGUUGGAUCCGGCUCUAGCAAGGCUCUCUACGGGUCAGCGGUCACCAGCUUGACGGAGGAUGUCAAGGUAGGUUUUAGGGUUUCGAGGCCCGUGGUGUGGGUGGUAUUAGUGGUUGUGGCGAUGGGAUUGCUUGUGGGUGCAUUCCUGAUGGUGGCAGUUAAAAAAGCGGUUAUUUUGGUGGCAGUGGGGGCGAUAUUAGUGCCCGUAAUUGUGGGACUUGUCUGGAAUUGUGUAUGGGGCAGGAGAGGGUUGUUAGGGUUUGUUAAGAGGUACCCUGAUGCUGAGCUAAGAGGUGCUAUUGAUGGGCAAUACGUCAAGGUCACGGGGGUAAUUUUCUCCUCUCUUUCUGAUUAUAUUACGCUACUUUAUUGCUCUAUUAUUUUUAGGUCAAUUCCUUGAUCUAUUUCCACAAGAUACUACAAAAUUUGUUAUAGAUACGAAAUCGGUGGGUCAUUAUUCAUGUUUAUAUAAUUUCAUAUUAGGAAGGGAAACAGAGAAAAGCAGAGAUUUAUCGAAUUUAGCUUGACACAUUUGGUUAAUUUGUUAAUGAUUUCAUGGUGUGAUAAUUUUCCAUUAAAAAUUGGAUUUUUCUUGCGACCUUUUUGUAUAAAUGAUAUAUUUAUCAAAGGGCCUUUUCCCUCCUCUCUCCUGAUUUGAGUCCAAUUGAAAUUUAUCCCAGUUUGCCGAGUGCAGGGAAGUUUGUUGAAAGUUUUAGUCCACAUGAAGGGUGGAAUUGAGCCCGCAAAUCUGUGAUGCACAAUGUCUUGUUUGCAUGUACUGGCUAGAUUUUAGGGACCAGUUUUGCUUCUUGUGGGGUUAAAGUUAGAAUUCUAUGAGAUUACUUGAAAUCUAAUUGGAGAAUAAUUGCAAUGUGGUUUUCCUUCCAUAGAAGAGCAGUCUAGCCUUUUCUUUGACUUCAAACCUCUUUUCCUUGUCAUUUGGUGCAUCACUUUGGCUUUAUCAAAAACUUCAUUGUCUUUAGUUUGAAAAGAUUGGGCAAAAUGCCCACUGAUGUUAGCUGGUCAAACAUCCUAGUUUGCAAUUUAUACUUAUAUUCUGUAUAAGUAGUGUAUUCUUGGAUAUCUUUUAUGUAGGUUGUCACUUGUGGCAGUAUACCUUUGGAAUCAUCUUACCAGAGGGUACCCAGGUGUGUAUACAUUUCCACGGAGUUGUAUGAAUAUAGGGGGUGGGGUGGAAAAUCUGCUCAUCCCAAGCACCGUUUCUUCUCAUGGGGAUCUAGAUAUUCAGAGGUCAGUUUGUUGCUUUUCAUUCCCAGUACAUUGAUUUUGAAAUCAAGAGUGUUUUUUUUUCCUCUGCAAAUUUAUGAAUCAGUUUCUCACUGCAUUUGCUAGAGUACUGACUACUUUGGUUUUCAUUAUUUAAACCUGAUAAAUUCAGUUUAUUCAAAACAAACAUUAACCAUGGGACCUGAUUUUUAAAAUGUACCAUUGUACAGAAAGGCAUCUAGCUGAAUGAGAACAUGAAAAGUUACUGGCAAUGUUGUAGGCAUGUUAAAUAAGGGAGCUAGUGCGUACAAAUUAAAUUCCAUCUUACCUUUUCUCAGUAGCUUAAAGGCUCCAACAGUUACUUGAUUAUGAGCUAAUAGGCAAUGGUAGUGCUGCACUUGAUUUGACAAUUACUUGUGUAGCAGCAGAUGGCUAUUUUUGGAGUAAGGAAAUACAAUUCUUCUUGGCCUGCAAUUCAUAGAAUAUAGUUGCACAAAACAAGUCCCAAUAACUGGGUAUGAUGCUUCUGUUGUCUAAAACCUAAAUAUUUAAUUGCGUUUCAUUUGUGAUGACAAUGUUUCAGUUAUUGGCUUUGUCUGGGUUCUUACUCUUUUCUGGAGAAAGCAGGUCCUGGACUCCUCUUGUGCAUUAUAAUGAUACGUUGAUUCUGGUGAACAGAAAUAUGUUGCGGAUUUUUACAUAUCAGAUUUUCAGUCAGGAUUGAGAGCAUUAGUGAAGGCAGGCUAUGGGGCUAAGGUUGCUCCGUUUGUCAAACCAGUUACAGUAGUUGAUGUAAAGAAGGAGAAUAGAGAUUUCUCUCCCAGCUUUUUACGCUGGUUAGCUGAUCACAGCCUCUCCAGUGAUGACCGGAUUAUGCGCCUAAAAGAAGGGUAUAUAAAAGAAGGGAGCACUGUAAGUGUGAUGGGUGUUGUUCAACGCCAUGAUAAUGUGUUGAUGAUAGUUCCACCUCAAGAGCCUGUCUCAACAGGCUGUCAAUGGUUCCAAUGCCUACUUCCAACCUAUGUUGAAGGUCUUGUUUUGAUGUGUGAUGAUAACCAAGAUGCCGAUGUAGUUCCUGUGUAGAUAUCUGGUGUUUCACCACUAUUUGGGUUGUGUCUUGAACUGGAUUUCACGAGUAAAUAGUGGAAGGAUGGUGAGCAGUGGAAUCUCGAGGCUCCCUGAACCACAUUCUCUUUGUUUCCAGGUACAUAAAGUGCAUAUAAAAUGGUCUUGAAAGUGCCAGAGCCAGUAGACUGAAAGAUGAUAUGUGAUUGAAGAGUAAUCUAGUGUAAAAGCAUUAAAUAUGCGUUGAAGAUUGUGACAAGUUCAAUGGGGAGAAGAGAUGUGCGAAGAAGCUGGAAUAUGUUGCAUCACAAUGGCACUUGGCACUUUGAUUUUUGUACAUAAGUUAUAGCAGGGUUGCCGGCAGGGGUUUCGUAACAGCGGCUUCAAAUGAACUUGUAUGGUAUGUAAAAUUGUGUAUUUAGGGGCCAAUUAAAAAUGACUGAUGAAUUCGAUGUCAUUCUAAAUUCUAAUACACUUUUACUGUGCUUGUAUUAGUAAGGAUUAAUCCAUUGAACACUUGAAUUAAAACUAUAACUUAUUGAACACCUGAAUUUAUAAAAAUCAUAAUAAUUAAAUCAUUUUAUGAAAGCGGAAUUAGACUUAAUGACAUAGUUAAUGAAAUUGCCACUAGUGAAUUUAUUAAUAUAGACUUGAAGCUGAUCCAUUGAAGAUUCAAAACAUUAGUCCUUUCCUCGGAGGGAACUAAAGUCUAGAAGGCAUCCCACCAGCCACGACCAAAGUUUCUCCUGUUAUAUAAGAAGCAUCAUCGGAUGCCAAAAAAGCAGUUGCGGAAGCCAUGUCUUCUGUGGUACCAAGCCUGUUAAGUAACGUAUUUUGCUCAAUGGCCUUCCUCAUGGCGUCAUUUUUUGUGAUGAAAUCCGCAAAAUGUGUUGGUACAAACCCAGGAGCAAUACAAUUUACACGAGUAUCAGGUGCCAUUUCACCUGCAAGGGCCUUAGUAAGCCCAAGAAGAGCUGUCUUUGUCACCCCAUACAUGGCCAUGGAAGCAUGGGGAUUGUAACCACCGAUUGAGGAAAUCAAAAUGACUGAAGAACCCUUCUGCAUAUGAGGAGCAGCAUCCUGCCCUCCAAAACAAAAAAGUUAAGUAUCUUAAAAUGUGAAAAAUGUCAGAGCAUGCAAACUGGACAAGUAUCUCUUGGACUUGGGGAGUGAUUUAAUAAAAGAUUAUCAAGAAAUAAAACUGAGAAAAAUCAAGGAAAAUCGGCUGGAUAUCCUCUAGAUAACCACUUGGACCUUCAAAAGAAGGAUAGAGGAUUUGACAUUAAUUUCCCAAAGCUUGUCAAGGACAGAUUCUUGAGUCUCCAAAAUAGAAUCAACAGAUGGAUUUGCAGCAGCAUUGGAUACAACCACAUCUAUUUUUCCAUAUUUCUCCACUGUCUUCUCAAUGAGAUUCUUUCUUUGUUCUGCAUUUGAGACAUGACAAACAACACCUAACACUUGGAUACCCUGAGCUUUAAGUUUCUCAACAGCCUCAUCUACAUUUUUCUGCUUGCGAGAAGAGAUGACGACGGCGGCGCCUUCCCAGCCGAGGCGCUGGGCGAUUGCAAAGCCUAUGCCCUGAGUGGAAGCUGUGACAAUCGCCACCUUCCCUUCAAAUCUCUUGCCAAAAUUUUUCUUCGUAUCCAUUUGGGUUCUUACUAUCACUGCUCACGACUCGCAAUGUAAAGCAACAAGCUGAACCUGAAUCGAAGAGAAUUGAUGACGCUGUAGGCUAAUUGAUUGACACCGUUGGAUCGGUCCUCAAUAUAGGGAUAAACGCUGAACGCGUUUUCUGAGACGAAACAGAUGGGAAAUAUCGUAUGGCGGGCCAACAACAGUUGAAGAAUGAGAUCCAAUACCAGACUCUUGCCGCUUUACAUUGUCUUUUUCUGCGAUCAGAUCAAAACCGGCAAUUGUUUUUGUCUUCCCAAACGUUGAUGGCAACGGCAAUUGUUCAGUCUCAUUUCCAAUGAUACAUUCACAGCUUUAAUUAUAUAUUUUAUAACAAAAUUAGGGAAUUGAUGGCAAUAAUAAUUUCA
Molecule: unclassified non-coding RNA, 4955 nt
Filed under: Hevea brasiliensis (rubber tree)
Lineage: Eukaryota; Viridiplantae; Streptophyta; Magnoliopsida; Malpighiales; Euphorbiaceae
Source: RNAcentral